Molecule: long non-coding RNA, 273 nt
Filed under: Vulpes vulpes (red fox)
Lineage: Eukaryota; Metazoa; Chordata; Mammalia; Carnivora; Canidae
Description: lncRNA (ENSVVUG00000024149.1)
Source: RNAcentral
AGACAGACUUAGAGUUUCUUAAAGAUUGAAAGUUUGAGUGUGAAAAAUGUCGCAGUUUCAUUGACCUGGCCCCAGCAUCGGAGAAGGAAAGAAUUCUCUUGGAUGUCACAGCAUUUAUCUUUGUCCCAAAUGUGGACCAGACCAGGAGGGGCGAGCAAGAGUAUACAUCACUUAAUUGCUCUGUGAUCAUGGGUAAGUCACAUUGCUUCUCUGAACCUGGGUUUCCCUAGUGGCUAAAUGGGACUGCUCAUGCCCUCUUCAGAGACUCAGCAG